GGGUUGAUGAGACAAAGGAUGUUGCAUCCAGGAUGAGGAUGGUAAUCAAAGGUGAGUUUGAUUAGUUUGUUUCCAUUUAGUACUUAUGUUUGUAUUGGCUACUUGCUCUCAACCUCUUAUGCCUUGAACAUGUUUAGAUAAAAUCUCAGUUUCAAUUAUCUCAUGUAAUCCUUUUAUAUAUAUAUAUAUAUAUAUAUAUAUAUAUUGGAAGUUUGAAGAUGUCACUGGCACAUGGGGCUACCUCGCCUAGAAAAUUAUUGCAUGUAAUUCUCCUUAUAAUAUUAAAAGGAGUUUGUCUUCCAAGUCUAGACUUCUAUACCAAUCGUGUCCCCUUCUCAAGUGAUGACUUAGUAGUUCCUAGUAUCUGUCCUACCAUUAUGUCCAUUGAUAAAGAAGCUUGAGUGACAUCAUUCUAUUCUUCAAACAAGGAUAGAGCUAUUCAGACAACUCGUAGUUUACGCUAUGUUAUUGAGGGAGAAACCAGACUCAGUCUUAGGAAGACCACGUGAUUCGAUUUUUGGAGAAAAAUGAAGCAACAGGGCCCACCAGUAAUGUCUUUACACUGUAUGUGUGUAUAUGAACGGUAUACGUUAGUCCAAAGUUAAUAUGCUAGGUGACAUGUCAACAAUAAUUUCCACAACUAAUACAAUAUUCCUCGAGGAGUUUGUUUCCAUUUAGUACUUAUGUUUGUAUUGGCUACUUGCUCUCAACCUCUUAUGCCUUGAACAUGUUUAGAUAAAAUCUCAGUUUCAAUUAUCUCAUGUAAUCCUUAAUAUAUAUAUAUAUAUAUAUAAAGGAGUUUGUGUCCUCCAAGUCUAGUCUUCCAUAUCAAUCGUCUUUCCUUCUCAAGUGAUGACUUGCAGUUCUUUGUAUCAGUUCCACCAUCGUGUUCAUCGAUAAAGAAGCUUGAGUUACAUCAUUCUAUUCUUCAAACGAGGACAGAGCCCUUCAAACAACUCAAAGUUUACGUUACGUUGCCGAGAGAGAAAUCAGAUUCAGUUUUGGGAAGAUCAUGUGAUUUGAUCUUUGAAGAAAAAUGACGCAACAGGGCCCAUCAGUAAUGUCAUUAUACUGUGUGUAUGUAAACGGUACACAUCCAUGAAUUAUAGCUUGGAGAAGGAACUCUUGAGGUCACACAAUUACCUGAGGUGAGUUUGUAUUGGGUAAAUAUUCAUGUUUGGUUGACCAUUUGAUCUCCACUUAUGCCUAUAUAAUGUUGCAGUGUAUCGUCUUUGGGCUUAAUGAUAUAACUUAAUGCUGUUUUGGGUAAUGUUGUGUUUGAAAUUUUCAUCCCAAAUACAUUUCAAAGUUCAUGUGAGAGCCACAUAGAAUGAGAACAUUUUUGGGACAGAAAUUUGGUAUUUAA
This 1366-nucleotide long non-coding RNA is filed under the name Musa acuminata (dwarf banana). RNAcentral's name for it is "long non-coding RNA (MACU_LNC000806)". Lineage: Eukaryota; Viridiplantae; Streptophyta; Magnoliopsida; Zingiberales; Musaceae. The record is from RNAcentral.